AAGACCUUGCGCUUUUGGAGCGGCCGAUGCCUGAUUGGCUAGUUGGUGGGGUAAUGGCCUACCAAAGCUUCGAUCAGUAGCUGGUCUGAGAGGACGGCCAGCCACACUGGGACUGAGACACGGCCCAGACUCCUACGGGAGGCAGCAGUGGGGAAUUUUGGACAAUGGGCGCAAGCCUGAUCCAGCCAUGCCGCGUGAGUGAAGAAGGCCUUCGGGUUGUAAAGCUCUUUCAGCCGGGAAGAAAAGGUUGCGAUUAAUAAUCGCAAUUUAUGACGGUACCGGAAGAAGAAGCACCGGCUAACUACGUGCCAGCAGCCGCGGUAAUACGUAGGGUGCGAGCGUUAAUCGGAAUUACUGGGCGUAAAGGGUGCGCAGGCGGUUUUGUAAGUCAGAUGUGAAAUCCCCGGGCUUAACCUGGGAACU
Molecule: ribosomal RNA, 423 nt
Filed under: uncultured bacterium
Lineage: Bacteria
Description: bacterial SSU rRNA
Rfam family: Bacterial small subunit ribosomal RNA
Source: RNAcentral